Long non-coding RNA from Tachyglossus aculeatus (Australian echidna), 713 nucleotides. RefSeq lists it as uncharacterized. Lineage: Eukaryota; Metazoa; Chordata; Mammalia; Monotremata; Tachyglossidae. The record is from RefSeq and is a predicted model, not a curated record. The transcript is spliced from 4 exons.
CUCCUAUGGAUGUCAUGGUCACAGAGGUGCAGUUGAAAAGACGUCGAUCUGUAUUUGAGCACACACCCUCACCGAAGAUUUCCUAGAACACAACAGGCAUUCUUUCUGCUCCUCAUGUUCUUGGCGAGUGUCCUGCUCUGUGGGAUCCGAAGCAGCUCUCCCUCCUCUUCCUCCUCCUUUGGAUGGCUCUGUCCACCUGGAAUCCCCUCAGGAUAUUUCCUCAGGUAGUCAACUUCUUCUCUCCCGUGUGGAUGUCCCGGUCACCAAGGCUCUGUUGAGAAGAAGUCAAUCUCUAUUGGAGAAUACACCUCCCGAAAGUUUUCCUAGAACACAACAGAGGAAUUUCUUACGCACCAUCUUCGUGCCCUGCAGCUGCUGCCAACAUGUGGGUACCUUGGAGGGUAGACCUGUCCUUACCAGUUGAGCACCUUAGCUGGGUGGAGGCAACUGGGAGGUGGAACUGGCAUUCAGGCAUCCUGACCUGAGGAAUCCUCUGAACUCCAGGGCCAAGAGUGAAGACGUGGAUGAUAGUUCCUGGGAAGAAUCAACUGGGUUUCAGCAACAAGCCUCACCAAAAUCUAAAUAAUAGGGAUUCCUUCUCCAAUAAUGCCCCAAAAAAGAGCUAGGGGGGUCUAAGAAAUUUUGCUUGUGCCUCUUAAAGUUCAUCGUUUUCCUCACUCAAAACAUUACCCAGUGCCAGUAGUCAAUGGAGA